RNAcentral lists this ribosomal RNA (253 nucleotides) under uncultured bacterium. Its description in RNAcentral is "partial 16S ribosomal RNA". It matches the Rfam family "Bacterial small subunit ribosomal RNA", at positions 524 to 776 of the family's 1533-position model. The record is from RNAcentral.
UACGUAGGGUGCGAGCGUUGUCCGGAAUUAUUGGGCGUAAAGAGCUCGUAGGCGGCCUGUCGCGUCGGAUGUGAAAGCCCGGGGCUUAACCCCGGGUCUGCAUUCGAUACGGGCAGGCUAGAGUUCGGUAGGGGAGACUGGAAUUCCUGGUGUAGCGGUGAAAUGCGCAGAUAUCAGGAGGAACACCGGUGGCGAAGGCGGGUCUCUGGGCCGAUAUUGACGCUGAGGAGCGAAAGCGUGGGGAGCAAACAGG